CACAUUUCCAAUAAAAACGUCUGACCCAGGCUGCCUUUGUUCCUUUGGUAAAGCUGCAAAGCAGGCGCUGUUACUUCCACUUUACAAGUGGGGAAACCAAGCCUCGUUGAGUGGGAAGCACCUGGGUUCAGCGCACAAGGCUAGAUGGUGGUGGAGGUGUAUCUUGGAUCCUGGAAGGCCACCUUCAGAGCUCCCAGCCAUGGCCAGCCUGGCCCAGGGGGUGGUAUGGGGUGGCCUAAUGGGGAGGGGUCAGAGGAGUAGCAGCAGAGCCCCAGAGAAGAUGCGUUGGGUUUUGGCCAGGAGCAGUUGGGGGGGCUGGGCGCUCAGGUGAUCGUGAGUGGUUGCUAUGGCAGGGGCUGUAGGUUGUAUCUGGAGACAGGCCACAGUGACCCUCCCAGGAGUGGUGAUGGACAGGCUCAGUGACAAGCUUGGGGGUCCUGAGACCAUGCAGUGAGCAGGAGGUGGGCUUGCAUCAAAGGGAGAAGUCGUCAGGGAGCACUGGCCAUGGUCAAGUGGGCACAGGUGGACUUCUGUUGGGGAGGGGGGCAGAACCAGAGGAGAGGGGAGGUGGGGGUCCUGGAAGGCCCCAGGAUCAGGAGCCCAAGGUUUGUCCAGUGGCUGCUGCCACCCCUGGUGCCCACCCUGUCUCCUUCACAAGCUGGAGUCAGGCCCUCAGUUGCUAUAACAACUGGAUCUCAGCAGUAAAAAUAGUAACUUAUUUCUUAUUCAACUUGUUUUGUUCUUGGAGAAAAAGAAAAUCCAUUUCUAGGUUUGUUUCCCUUCAGGGGUCUCCUCUGGGGCCCUACUGAGCCUGUGGCCAAGACAAGCUGAAGGUCUUCGAGGGCUGGCUGGGGGCCGGGAGGAGGCCUGCGAGCCAGCAGCCUGGGGAGGUCUGCUCCCACACCUGUGGCUUCCCUCAGCCUCUGGGCAGCUGUGGUCAACAAUUGAUGCCUCAGGCCUGCCCUGGACUUCCCCAGAAGGGGCCUCAGGGAGAUCAGGCCUCUGAUCUCUUUCACUUUUAGAAAGCCAGCAGGGACCUUUUUGGGAAUUAAAGUUGAGGGCUGAGGAGGAGGUAUGGCUGGCACCUGGGGACAGUGUGUCCUAGUGGGGCUGAUGAUAAGGCUUAGGGACGGGGUCACAACAAUGGUGAUGGAGAUCAAGGUCUGAGAAGAGGCCAUGAAAUGCGUGUUUGGAGUUCAGAGCCUGGGAAGCUGGGCUUCAGGGCAGCUCCUCUGGUUGUGUGACCUUGGGACAGUCCCCUGUUCCCUGUAGCCAUGAGCCUCACCCGCUCUUAACCAUGACCCCUGGCAAAAAGACAUUUUCUAUCCUGACUAGCACACAAAAUGUAUAUAAGACAACUGAAACAAAAGUUUCUUGAACAUGACUUUCUCUCCCCUGGCACCAUGCACUCUGGAAGGGAUGUCUUUUCUGUUUCACUUCCAGUGGCUGCUCACCGCCCACCUGAUUGACUUCCUGAUCUUCUAGAGCCAUGUUGCCCCACAGGACUUUCUGCG
This 1514-nucleotide long non-coding RNA is filed under the name Canis lupus familiaris (dog). RNAcentral's name for it is "lncRNA (ENSCAFG00000056031.1)". Lineage: Eukaryota; Metazoa; Chordata; Mammalia; Carnivora; Canidae. The record is from RNAcentral.